UACGGAGGGUGCAAGCGUUAUCCGGAUUCACUGGGUUUAAAGGGUGCGUAGGCGGGUGUAUAAGUCAGUGGUGAAAGCUCCAGGCUUAACUUGGAAAUUGCCAUUGAUACUGUAUAUCUUGAAUGUCGUUGAGGUAAGCGGAAUGUUGCAUGUAGCGGUGAAAUGCUUAGAUAUGUUACAGAACACCAAUUGUGAAGACAGCUUACUAAGCGAUGAUUGACGCUGAGGCACGAAAGCGUGGGGAGCAAACAGG
This 253-nucleotide ribosomal RNA is filed under the name uncultured bacterium. Its description in RNAcentral is "partial 16S ribosomal RNA". It matches the Rfam family "Bacterial small subunit ribosomal RNA", at positions 524 to 776 of the family's 1533-position model. The record is from RNAcentral.